Molecule: ribosomal RNA, 289 nt
Filed under: uncultured bacterium
Lineage: Bacteria
Description: partial 16S ribosomal RNA
Rfam family: Bacterial small subunit ribosomal RNA
Source: RNAcentral
CCUACGGGGGGCAGCAGUGGGGAAUAUUGCACAAUGGGGGAAACCCUGAUGCAGCAACGCCGCGUGAGUGAAGAAGUAUUUCGGUAUGUAAAGCUCUAUCAGCAGGGAAGAAAAUGACGGUACCUGAGUAAGAAGCCCCGGCUAACUACGUGCCAGCAGCCGCGGUAAUACGUAGGGGGCAAGCGUUAUCCGGAUUUACUGGGUGUAAAGGGAGCGCAGGCGGUGCGGCAAGUCUGAUGUGAAAGCCCGGGGCUCAACCCCGGGACUGCAUUGGAAACUACCGAACUAG